RNAcentral lists this ribosomal RNA (405 nucleotides) under uncultured Bacteroidota bacterium. RNAcentral describes it as "bacterial SSU rRNA". It matches the Rfam family "Bacterial small subunit ribosomal RNA", at positions 364 to 766 of the family's 1533-position model. The record is from RNAcentral. Lineage: Bacteria; Pseudomonadati; Bacteroidota.
UUGGUCAAUUGGCGAAAGCCAGAACCAGUCAUGCCGCGUGCAGGAUGAAGGCCCUACGGGUCGUAAACUGCUUUUAUUCGGGAAGAAAAAGUCUGUUUCCACAGACCUUGACGGUACCGAUUGAAUAAGGACCGGCCAACUCCGUGCCAGCAGCCGCGGUAAUACGGAGGGUCCAAGCGUUAUCCGGAUUCACUGGGUUUAAAGGGUGCGCAGGCGGCCAAGUAAGUCAGUGGUGAAAGCCUUCGGCUCAACCGGAGAAUUGCCAUUGAAACUACUUGGCUUGAGUGCAGCAGAGGUAGGCGGAAUGUAGCAUGUAGCGGUGAAAUGCAUAGAUAUGCUACAGAACACCGAUAGCGAAAGCAGCUUACCACACUGUAACUGACGCUGAGGCACGAAAGCAUGGGU